GAUGAACGCUGGCGGCGUGCUUAACACAUGCAAGUCGAACGGAAAGGCUCCUGCUUGCAGGGGUACUCGAGUGGCGAACGGGUGAGUAACACGUGGGUGAUCUGCCCUGCACUUCGGGAUAAGCCUGGGAAACUGGGUCUAAUACCGGAUAGGACCACAUUUUGGAUGGUGUGGUGGAAAGUUUUUCGGUGUGGGAUGAGCUCGCGGCCUAUCAGCUUGUUGGUGGGGUAAUGGCCUACCAAGGCGUCGACGGGUAGCCGGCCUGAGAGGGUGUACGGCCACAUUGGGACUGAGAGACGGCCCAGACUCCUACGGGAGGCAGCAGUGGGGAAUAUUGCACAAUGGGCGCAAGCCUGAUGCAGCGACGCCGCGUGGGGGAUGACGGCCUUCGGGUUGUAAACUCCUUUCGCUAGGGACGAAGCGCAAGUGACGGUACCUGGAGAAGAAGCACCGGCUAACUACGUG
RNAcentral lists this ribosomal RNA (465 nucleotides) under uncultured bacterium. RNAcentral describes it as "partial 16S ribosomal RNA". It matches the Rfam family "Bacterial small subunit ribosomal RNA", at positions 28 to 507 of the family's 1533-position model. The record is from RNAcentral.